GAAAAGUUUAAAGUGCAGAGGGUUGAGUGACAGGCUUUUUAGCCAAAGUGGCCAUAGGUUGCUGCCCAGUGUGAGCAAGCAGAUGGAAGCCGCGAGUUAGCUGGCAGGUAGAGGAAGCAGAGAGCUCAGAAGCAGCGCUGCAGGCUGAAAGGCAGCUUUCAAUGCAGGCUGGGGGAGCGGCAGCGAGCAGAGCUUCGCACCUUUUUGGACGGACACAAAGAGGAGGUGACCAAGAAGUGGGAAAGAGCCUGUGGAAAGAGCCAUGAGGUUGGUGCUGUGAGCUGCCUGAAGCCAGUGUGGGAGCAAGACUCUGACCACCUUCAAGAACAGCUCCUAACCACUGAGCCUUCUGUUCAGUCAUCUGGUCUACCCUUGCACAUCAGUUUCUUAAGAUGUGACUCACACCUCCAUAUGGGAAUGAUGUAAUCAAAUGUGAGGCUUGCAAAUUUAUGCACAGGUGUGUGCAUAUGCAACUGCGCAAGAUUAGUUCACCAUGUGCAUUGAAUCUGAGUUGUUUCUGGCAGUGCUGCAGUCCCAUGCUGCAUCCUGUGACUUCUCUACACCUCUGUUUCUGAGCACACAACAUGAGUUUAAAAAGCCCCUUUCCUUUCCUAUUCAUAAGGCACUCGCUUCCCAGUGAAAACUAUCAUCUCUUUGUUUUCAUUCCCAUGAUCCCCAGUCCGGCUUGCAUUUAUGGUGGGUCAGGUUGUCUCUAGGCUGGCUACUCUCAUCAUAAGAGCAUGGGUCAAAAGGUCCAAAUAGACUUGCUGGCUCCACUGGAUGUUUUCUGAGAUGCUCAUUCCACAUGACUGGGGAAAGCCAAAAGGGAUCAUAUGGACUACCAAGAAAUGCUAUGGAAGCACUGCCACAAGAAAGGCAACUCAGAUGGCUAUUGGUUACAGAUGGAGAAACUGAGGACCAAAGGAAGGUCAGGCAGAGCCAGGACUCUAAGGAGAGUGCUCAUUCUUCAGCCACCAGGAUGUCAGGAUCUAACAGAGAUCCCACCCGACUUCUCAAGGAGGUCCAUGAUCAGGUGAGGAUGAGUUUGCUUCAGAGCUUGGUAGAAUUGGUCUUUGCAAUCCCAGCUCCAGGAUCAGCUGAAGCUAAAGAGCUUCCUCAUCUUGCCUUGGUUUGUGGUCUCAGUCCGCACUGCCUCAUAAUCUCCAUCACUCAGCACCAGACCAUGCAGCUUGUCCAAUAGAGGGUCCACCGAUGUCACUCAGGCCACCAGCUGCUCUCGAUGUUGGUCCACAAAGUGUAGCAAGGAAGGAGCAUCUAUGGGUACAGAUGAGAAAGGUAUGGAGCAAAGAAAUGCUCCUUUGGGGUCUCUGACUAGCUGUCUAUUUCUUGCUCUUUUCCUGUACCUCUGGCUCCCUUUUUCCUCUGGAGGGCCAUUGGGAAUUUUCCUUUAGUUUUUUUUUGGGGCCAGUUAUUAGUUUGAAAAUUUAUCAGACUAGGGGGAAGGGUUUAUGGUUGGGCAUUAAGUUUUGGAAUGGGUGUAAUUAUUGUCAUCAUGGGAAGCAGCAAGGGACGUGAGGAACUCUGCUCUUGGUAUGAAACUCUCCUACAUUCUGGAGAAAUUUGCAAACUGAGGCUCCCUCCUUUCUCUCUGCCCUUUUGUCAAGGAUGAGAUGAAGUACCAGCCAAAUAGGAUUGACUUCUCUAGUGUCUUACAAUUUUACUAACCUUUGGGGGCUGGAGUCAUCCUGGGCAGUGCAGGUCUGAGGUCUCCUGGAAAAAAAGGAGAGAUGAUGCAUCUGUGAUGAUGUCCACACCAACACUCAGUGCAUUCUGUGAAACUCCUACACAUGCCUGAGAUUUUGAGAAUGAACUACAGGUAUUCUGAUAUAAUGUGGAAGGUGAACAGUUCCACAGUUAUCCCGUGCAUCUUGGCCUAUCAUAGAGAGAAUAGACCUAGGAAUAGGCAUCCAAUCACUACUCUAUCAUCAUAGAGAGUAGACCUGGGAAUAAAUAAUAGACAUCUCUCCCACAUGAUCUCAGAGUCAAUUUUAUCCUUGACUCUGUGAACAACUAACCAAGUUCUUGCUAGAAAGCUUUGAUAUUUAAUUCUUGGUUAAAUAAAUAACAAAACAAAGUAAAACAAAAAUCCUACUUUUUUGUCCUUGUCCUCACAUAUGACAAACUUGAGUUCUGGAUUUGAUGGACGAAUUAAGGUGAAGGAAGACAGAGCACAUGUGAAUAGUGAGAAAAUUUCAGCCUCAAGUGAAGGAGAUUAAUAAACUGUAGCUCAUGAAUAAGUCUCAAGGGUUUGAGAGGUUUCUACAUUCACAGUGCUCUGACAGUUUAGUAAAGUCAGCCCAAGGACCCAGUCUGCUGUAGUGGGAAGCCCUGUUUGAUUAGGGUAACUUGGUUUUGGGAGUUGUACUAGGAUUGUA
Molecule: long non-coding RNA, 2396 nt
Organism: Mastomys coucha (southern multimammate mouse)
Lineage: Eukaryota; Metazoa; Chordata; Mammalia; Rodentia; Muridae
Exons: 2
Source: RefSeq, a predicted model, not a curated record